RNAcentral lists this ribosomal RNA (492 nucleotides) under uncultured bacterium. RNAcentral describes it as "partial 16S ribosomal RNA". It matches the Rfam family "Bacterial small subunit ribosomal RNA", at positions 29 to 507 of the family's 1533-position model. The record is from RNAcentral.
AGUGAACGCUGGCGGUAGGCCUAACACAUGCAAGUCGAACGGCAGCACAGUAAGAGCUUGCUCUUACGGGUGGCGAGUGGCGGACGGGUGAGGAAUACAUCGGAAUCUACUUUUUCGUGGGGGAUAACGUAGGGAAACUUACGCUAAUACCGCAUACGACCUACGGGUGAAAGCAGGGGAUCUUCGGACCUUGCGCGAUUGAAUGAGCCGAUGUCGGAUUAGCUAGUUGGCGGGGUAAAGGCCCACCAAGGCGACGAGCCGUAGCUGGUCUGAGAGGAUGAUCAGCCACACUGGAACUGAGACACGGUCCAGACUCCUACGGGAGGCAGCAGUGGGGAAUAUUGGACAAUGGGCGCAAGCCUGAUCCAGCCAUACCGCGUGGGUUAAGAAGGCCUUCGGGUUGUAAAGCCCUUUUGUUGGGAAAGAAAAGCAGCAGGUUAAUACCCCGCUGUUCUGACGGUACCCAAAGAAUAAGCACCGGCUAACUUCGUG